UUCAGGGGUAAACCUGCGAAACUCGAAUGAACGAACGGAGAGAUUCAUCGUCAUUCCGGGGCGUACGUGCGUGCUCCACGAUGCGAGCGGUGCGUUUCGCGCGUGUCCGUUCGCACGGGACGCGCACGUCUCACGUCCUCGGACGGCGUGCACUUCUCUCUUAGUAAUGCAUCGCGACCCGUUCCGUCUCCAAUUAUCUAAGCGCCUUUCGGGAGUCCCGGAUGUAUUCUUCAGGGGACACAUUCGAGGACCGAACUUGAUCGGGUGGACA
RNAcentral lists this ribosomal RNA (271 nucleotides) under Melieria omissa. RNAcentral describes it as "partial 28S ribosomal RNA". The record is from RNAcentral. Lineage: Eukaryota; Metazoa; Arthropoda; Insecta; Diptera; Ulidiidae.